Molecule: transfer RNA, 82 nt
Filed under: Actinomycetota bacterium
Lineage: Bacteria; Bacillati; Actinomycetota
Description: tRNA-Tyr
Rfam family: tRNA
About the family: Transfer RNA (tRNA) molecules are approximately 80 nucleotides in length.
Source: RNAcentral
GGGGGAGUACCGAAGUGGUCAAACGGGAUGCGCUGUAAACGCAUUGGCUCUGCCUUCGCAGGUUCGAAUCCUGCUCCCCCCA